AGAAUCAACGCUGGCGGCGUGCCUAACACAUGCAAGUCGAACGAGAAAGGGUAGCAAUACCCGAGUAAAGUGGCGCACGGGUGAGUAACACGUGACUAACCUACCCUGGAGUGUGGGAUAACUGAGGGAAACCUUAGCUAAUACCGCAUAAUACCUACGGGUCAAAGGAGCAAUUCGCUUUGGGAGGGGGUCGCGGCCGAUUAGUUAGUUGGCGGGGUAAUGGCCCACCAAGACAGUGAUCGGUAUCCGGCCUGAGAGGGCGCACGGACACACUGGAACUGAAACACGGUCCAGACUCCUACGGGAGGCAGCAGUGGGGAAUUUUGCGCAAUGGGGAAACCCUGACGCAGCAACGCCGCGUGGAGGAUGAAGUACUUCGGUACGUAAACUCCUUUCGAUCGGGACGAUAAUGACGGUACCGGAAGAAGAAGCCCGGCUAACUUCGUGCCAGCAGCCGC
RNAcentral lists this ribosomal RNA (458 nucleotides) under uncultured bacterium. RNAcentral's name for it is "SSU rRNA". It matches the Rfam family "Bacterial small subunit ribosomal RNA", at positions 26 to 518 of the family's 1533-position model. The record is from RNAcentral.